This 465-nucleotide ribosomal RNA is filed under the name uncultured bacterium. Its description in RNAcentral is "partial 16S ribosomal RNA". It matches the Rfam family "Bacterial small subunit ribosomal RNA", at positions 338 to 795 of the family's 1533-position model. The record is from RNAcentral.
CCUACGGGUGGCAGCAGUGGGGAAUAUUGCGCAAUGGGCGAAAGCCUGACGCAGCGACGCCGCGUGAGGGAUGAAGGUCUUCGGAUCGUAAACCUCUGUCAGCAGGGAAGAACGGUCACUGUGCUAAUCAGCAGUGAAUUGACGGUACCUGCAAAGGAAGCACCGGCUAACUCCGUGCCAGCAGCCGCGGUAAUACGGAGGGUGCGAGCGUUAAUCGGAAUUACUGGGCGUAAAGGGCUCGUAGGCGGUAUGUCAAGUCAAGGGUGAAAUCCCCGGGCUCAACGUGGGAACUGCCUUUGAAACUGGCGAACUUGAGUGUGCGAGAGGAUAGUGGAAUUCGAGGUGUAGGAGUGAAAUCCGUAGAUAUCUGGAGGUACAUCAGUGGCGAAGGCGACUAUCUGGCACAUAACUGACGCUGAGGAGCGAAAGCGUGGGUAGCAAACAGGAUUAGAUACCCGAGUAGUC